AGCGAACGCUGGCGGCAGGCCUAACACAUGCAAGUCGAACGAACCUUUCGGGGUUAGUGGCGGACGGGUGAGUAACACGUGGGAACGUGCCUUUAGGUUCGGAAUAACUCAGGGAAACUUGUGCUAAUACCGAAUGUGCCCUUCGGGGGAAAGAUUAAUCGCCUUUAGAGCGGCCCGCGUCUGAUUAGCUAGUUGGUUGAGGUAAUGGCUCACCAAGGCGACGAUCAGUAGCUGGUCUGAGAGGAUGAUCAGCCACAUUGGGACUGAGACACGGCCCAAACUCCCACGGGGGGGAGGAGGGGGGGAACUUUGGCAAAGGGGGAAAACCCGACGCAGCCAUGGCGGGGGAAAUGAGAAGGGUUUAGGAUUGGAAAAUUUUUUCACCCGGGACGAUAAAUACGGGACCCGGAGAAAAAACCCCCGGUAACUUCGUG
This 434-nucleotide ribosomal RNA is filed under the name uncultured bacterium. RNAcentral's name for it is "partial 16S ribosomal RNA". It matches the Rfam family "Bacterial small subunit ribosomal RNA", at positions 29 to 507 of the family's 1533-position model. The record is from RNAcentral.